Molecule: ribosomal RNA, 253 nt
Filed under: uncultured bacterium
Lineage: Bacteria
Description: partial 16S ribosomal RNA
Rfam family: Bacterial small subunit ribosomal RNA
Source: RNAcentral
GACGUAGGGCGCGAGCGUUGUCCGGAUUUAUUGGGCGUAAAGAGCUCGUAGGCGGCUUGUCGCGUCGGCUGUGAAAACCCGCGGCUCAACUGUGGGCGGGCAGCUGAUACGGGCAGGCUGGAGUUCGGUAGGGGAGACUGGAAUUCCUGGUGUAGCGGUGAAAUGCGCAGAUAUCAGGAGGAACACCGGUGGCGAAGGCGACAUCCUGGACCGGUAUUGACGCUGAGGCGCGAAAGCCAGGGGAGCAAACGGG